UGCCAUCAGAAAAUAGGAAAUGAAAGGGAAAAAAAAACAAAUUAAUAUGUUCGGCUAUCGCAUAGAAUUAUGAUAUAAACAUCACAAUAUCUUAAAGCUUUUAGAGAGAAAUGAUCAAACAUGAUCGUGUAGUUGCAGGUAAAAUGAGCACAUAACGUAACCAAAGGGGAAAACAAAACUCGUCGUUUGUGGUUUCCAAGUCCAAAACAACAUGCUUACAAGUCUCUGUACGUUUUUUGAGUGUUAACAAUGGAAUUGAGCUGAUUUUUUGAAAUAAAGGAAAUGAAAACAAGAAUCACAGCAGAAAAGCGAGAAUACCAGAUCAACGGACUCGUUUUUGA
This 341-nucleotide unclassified non-coding RNA is filed under the name Hevea brasiliensis (rubber tree). Lineage: Eukaryota; Viridiplantae; Streptophyta; Magnoliopsida; Malpighiales; Euphorbiaceae. The record is from RNAcentral.